Molecule: ribosomal RNA, 253 nt
Filed under: uncultured bacterium
Lineage: Bacteria
Description: partial 16S ribosomal RNA
Rfam family: Bacterial small subunit ribosomal RNA
Source: RNAcentral
UACAGAGGGGGCGAGCGUUAUUCGGAAUUAUUGGGCGUAAAGGGCGCGUAGGCGGCCUUUCAAGUGACGGGUGAAAUCCCUCGGCUUAACCGAGGAGCUGCCUGUCAGACUGGGAGGCUUGAGACCGGGAGAGGUGAGUGGAAUUCCCAGUGUAGCGGUGAAAUGCGUAGAUAUUGGGAGGAACACCAGUGGCGAAGGCGGCUCACUGGACCGGAACUGACGCUGAGGCGCGAAAGCGUGGGGAGCAAACAGG